RNAcentral lists this ribosomal RNA (467 nucleotides) under uncultured bacterium. Its description in RNAcentral is "partial 16S ribosomal RNA". It matches the Rfam family "Bacterial small subunit ribosomal RNA", at positions 29 to 507 of the family's 1533-position model. The record is from RNAcentral.
ACGAACGCUGGCGGCGUGCUUAACACCUGCAAGUCGAACGGAAAGGCCCUGCUUUUGUGGGGUGCUCGAGUGGCGAACGGGUGAGUAACACGUGAGUAACCCGCUCGUGACGUUGGGAUAACCGCAGGAAACUGGGGCUAAUACCGGAUAGGAGCUCCUGCUGCAUGGUGGGGCUUGGAAUGUUGCGGCGGUUGGGGGUAGAUUCGCGGCUAAUCAGCUUGUUGGUGGGGUAGUGGCAUACCAAGGCUUUGUCGGGUAGCCGGCCUGAGAGCGUGACCAGCCACAUGGGGACUGAGAUAGGGAGCAGACUCGUACGGGAGGCAACAGUGGGAAAUAUUGCACAACGAGCGGAAGCGUAAGGCAGCAGCGCCGCGUGCGGAAUGACCGCCUUCAGGUUGUAAACCGCUUUCGCCUGUGACGGAGCGUGAGUGACGGUAACGGAUGAAGAAGCACCGGCUAACUACGUG